UGUAGUAACACUGUAACACUUCCAACACUCACCACAGAAACUAAUUUACUACUGUGUAAACAUUAUUUGUCUUCCAUUGGUGCGGAGUUACAAGAAUUUCAUUUCUCGGUAUCAUGAUAAGUCACUUUUCUCUUCACUCUGCUUAAAAUCCGGCAAAAUUUUCAUCUUCUUGAAACACCCUUUUCAAGAAAGUGCUCUGUUCUUUGUCCUGUUUG
This 215-nucleotide unclassified non-coding RNA is filed under the name Hevea brasiliensis (rubber tree). Lineage: Eukaryota; Viridiplantae; Streptophyta; Magnoliopsida; Malpighiales; Euphorbiaceae. The record is from RNAcentral.